RNAcentral lists this ribosomal RNA (492 nucleotides) under uncultured bacterium. RNAcentral describes it as "partial 16S ribosomal RNA". It matches the Rfam family "Bacterial small subunit ribosomal RNA", at positions 29 to 507 of the family's 1533-position model. The record is from RNAcentral.
AGUGAACGCUGGCGGUAGGCCUAACACAUGCAAGUCGAACGGCAGCACAGUAAGAGCUUGCUCUUACGGGUGGCGAGUGGCGGACGGGUGAGGAAUACAUCGGAAUCUACUUUUUCGUGGGGGAUAACGUAGGGAAACUUACGCUAAUACCGCAUACGACCUACGGGUGAAAUCAGGGGAUCUUCGGACCUUGCGCGAUUGAUUGAGCCGAUGUCGGAUUAGCUAGUUGGCGGGGUAAAGGCCCACCAAGGCGACGAUCCGUAGCUGGUCUGAGAGGAUGAUCAGCCACACUGGAACUGAGACACGGUCCAGACUCCUACGGGAGGCAGCAGUAGGGAAUAUUGGACAAUGGGCGAAAGCCUGAUCCAGCAAUACCGCGUGAGUGAAGAAGGCCUUCGGGUUGUAAAGCUCUUUUGUUGGGAAAGAAAAACAGCAGGUUAAACCCCCGCUGUUCUGACGGUACCCAAAGAAUAAGCUCCGGCUAACUUCGUG